AUUGAACGCUGGCGGCAGGCCUAACACAUGCAAGUCGAACGAGUGGCGGACGGGUGAGUAAUGUCUGGGAAACUGCCUGAUGGAGGGGGAUAACUACUGGAAACGGUAGCUAAUACCGCAUACCAUCUGAUGUGCCCAGAUGGGAUUAGCUAGUAGGUGGGGUAACGGCUCACCUAGGCCACGAUCCCUAGCUGGUCUGAGAGGAUGACAAGCCACACUGGAACUGAGACACGGUCCCGACUCCUACGGUAGGCAGCAGUGGGGAAUAUUGCACAAUGGGAGCAAGCCUGAUGCAGACAUGCCGCGUGUAUGAAGAAGGCCUUCGGGUUGUAAAGUACUUUCAGCGGGGAGGCGUUACCGGCAGAAGAAGCACCGGCUAACUCCGUGCCAGCAGCCGCGGUAAUAC
Molecule: ribosomal RNA, 406 nt
Filed under: uncultured bacterium
Lineage: Bacteria
Description: partial 16S ribosomal RNA
Rfam family: Bacterial small subunit ribosomal RNA
Source: RNAcentral